AUAGGAGAUCUCUUCUAAUGCUAAUGAUCUAUAUUCUAAAAGUUAAUAUUCUCAUUUCAUUUCUAGGACUAAACAUCUAGGUUCUAAAAUUCUAUCCAGUUCCAACAUUUUAGACCAUGACACAGAAAUGCAAAAUCAAACAUCUAGUUGCCCUCUGAAUUUGACAUUCCAUAACACGGUGUAGUGGAAAGAACUGUGGAUCCAUCAUCUGAGGACUUCAGUUUAAAUUUCUGGUCUGCUAUUUUUCACCUGUGUGACUUCAGGUCUGGCGUGCUAUGGUGUUUGUAGCUUGUUAUCAUGAAAACCAUUAUAAGUUUUCAGAAGUGGAGAUCUUGUUCCUGGGUAUCCAGGAUAUCCACCCAGCAGAAUCCACAUGCAGAUUGAAGCAUACUAUUCUUCACUUUAUUUCCUCUAUGAAUUUUUCACUAGUGUAAGAAAUGUGUAUCUUAUUUCAUAACAUGAUGAAGAAGGAAAUAUAUAUUAUAUGAUAAUAUAUGUGUAACCUAUAUCAUAUCCCUUGCCUUCCUGGGCAAGCAGAAGGGAGAGAACAUGAAUUGAAAAAUGUCAAAUAAAUGAAUGUUUAAAUUGUAUUUACA
Molecule: long non-coding RNA, 596 nt
Filed under: Monodelphis domestica (gray short-tailed opossum)
Lineage: Eukaryota; Metazoa; Chordata; Mammalia; Didelphimorphia; Didelphidae
Description: lncRNA (ENSMODG00000042463.1)
Source: RNAcentral